This 652-nucleotide ribosomal RNA is filed under the name Amanita sp. RNAcentral describes it as "LSU rRNA". It matches the Rfam family "Eukaryotic large subunit ribosomal RNA", at positions 72 to 705 of the family's 3401-position model. The record is from RNAcentral. Lineage: Eukaryota; Fungi; Basidiomycota; Agaricomycetes; Agaricales; Amanitaceae.
GGAUUCCCUUAGUAACUGCGAGUGAAGUGGGAAAAGCUCAAAUUUAAAAUCUGACAGUGUUAACUGUCCGAAUUGUAGCCUAGAGAAGUGUUACCCGUGCUGGACCAUGUAUAAGUCUCCUGGGAUGGAGCGUCACAGAGGGUGAGAAUCCCGUCUUUGACAUGGACUACCAGUGCAUUGUGGUAUGCUCUCAAAGAGUUGAGUUGUUUGGGAUUGCAGCUCUAAAUGGGUGGUAAAUUCCAUCUAAAGCUAAAUAUUGGCGAGAGACCGAUAGCGAACAAGUACCGUGAGGGAAAGAUGAAAAGAACUUUGGAAAGAGAGUUAAAAAGUAUGUGAAAUUGUUGAAAGGGAAACGCUUGAAGUCAGUCGCAUUGGUUUGGGAUCAAGUCAGCUCUUUUGCAGACUGUACUUCCUAACUAAUGGGUCAACAUGAGUUUUGACUGCUAGAGAAAAGCUUUGGGAAUGUGGCACCUUUAAGGUGUGUUAUAGCCCCUGGCUGUAUGUAGUGGUUGGGACUGAGGAAAACAGCGUGCCGCAAGGCCGGGUUCGACCACGUUCAUGCUUAUGAUGUUGGCAUAUAAUGGCUUUUAUCGACCCGUCUUGAAACACGGACCAACGAGUCUAACAUGCAUGCGAGUGUUUGGGUGGAAAC